UCUCCGUUGGUGAACCAGCGGAGGGAUCAUUAUCGAGUUUAUAACUUCCAAACCCUAUGUGAACUUACCACUUGUUGCUUCGGCGCGCGCUUCGGUGCCGCCGAGGACACUUAAACUCUUUGUUUUUAUAAGCAUUUCUGAGUGGCCGAAAGGCAAAAUACAGAUGAAUCAAAACUUUCAACAACGGAUCUCUUGGUUCUGGCAUCGUGAAGAACGCAGC
RNAcentral lists this unclassified non-coding RNA (220 nucleotides) under plant metagenome. RNAcentral's name for it is "partial contains small subunit ribosomal RNA, internal transcribed spacer 1, and 5.8S ribosomal RNA". The record is from RNAcentral.